AAUGAACGCUGGCGGUAGGCCUAACACAUGCAAGUCGAACGGCAGCGCAGUAAGAGCUUGCUCUUACGGUUGGCGAGUGGCGGACGGGUGAGGAAUACAUCGGCCUCUACUUUUUCGUGGGGGAUAACGUCGGGAAACAUACGCUAAUACCACCUACGACCUACGGGUGAAAGCAGGGGUUCUUCGGACCUUGCGCGAUUGAAUGAGCCGAUGUCGGAUUAGCUAGUUGGCGGGGUACCGGCCCAGCAAGGCGACGAUCCGUAGCUGGUCUGAGAGGAUGUUGCGCCACAGUGGAACUGAGACACGGUCCAGACUCCGACGGGAGGCAGCAGUGGGGAAUAGUGGACGAUGGGCGGAAGCCUGAUCCAGCCGUACCGGGUUGGUGAAGAAGGGCUUCGGGUUGUAAAGCCGUUUUGUGGGUAAAGAAAAGCAGCAGGUUAAUACCACGCUGUUCUGACGGUACCCAAAGAAGAAGCACCGGCUAACUUCGUG
RNAcentral lists this ribosomal RNA (492 nucleotides) under uncultured bacterium. RNAcentral describes it as "partial 16S ribosomal RNA". It matches the Rfam family "Bacterial small subunit ribosomal RNA", at positions 29 to 507 of the family's 1533-position model. The record is from RNAcentral.